UCCUACGGGAGGCAGCAGUAAGGGAUCUUGCGACAAUGGGCGAAAGCCUGACGCAGCAACGCCGCGUGCGGGAUGACGGCCUUCGGGUUGUAAACCGCUUUUCGGGGGGAAGAGGAAGGACGGUACCCCCGGAAUAAGUCUCGGCUAACUACGUGCCAGCAGCCGCGGUAAUA
Molecule: ribosomal RNA, 173 nt
Filed under: uncultured Chloroflexota bacterium
Lineage: Bacteria; Bacillati; Chloroflexota
Description: uncultured Chloroflexi bacterium partial 16S ribosomal RNA
Rfam family: Bacterial small subunit ribosomal RNA
Source: RNAcentral